This 1732-nucleotide ribosomal RNA is filed under the name Corynebacterium sp. HMSC08C04. Its description in RNAcentral is "bacterial LSU rRNA". It matches the Rfam family "Bacterial large subunit ribosomal RNA", at positions 1 to 1603 of the family's 2925-position model. The record is from RNAcentral. Lineage: Bacteria; Bacillati; Actinomycetota; Actinomycetes; Mycobacteriales; Corynebacteriaceae.
UGUUCGUUAUUUAGGGCGCAUGGUGGAUGCCUUGGCAUGCUGAGCCGAUGAAGGACGUGAAAGGCUGCGUUAAGCCUCGGGGAGUUGUCAAUUAAGCGUUGAUCCGAGGAUGUCCGAAUGGGGAAACCUGGCACUUGUUAUGGAGUGUUACCCUUCAGUGAAUUCAUAGCUGUUGUGGGGGUUGACGCGGGGAAGUGAAACAUCUCAGUACCCGUAGGAGAAGAAAAUAAUAAUGAUUCUGCUAGUAGUGGCGAACGAACGUGGAUGAGGCUAAACCGUGUGCAUGUGAUACUUGGUAGGGGUUGUGUGUGCGGUGUUGUGGGCCUUGAUGUGCAGCGACUACCAUCGUUGCGUCUUGUUGUUGAUGUUAGGUGAAGUGGUGUGGAAACGCCUGCCGUAGAGGGUGAUAGUCCUGUAGCUGAAGACAUUGAUGAUGGGGUUGUCAAGUUGCCCGAGUAGCAGCGGGCUCGUGGAAUCUGCUGUGAAUCUGCCGGGACCACCCGGUAAGCCUAAAUACUCAGUGUGACCGAUAGUGGAUAGUACCGUGAGGGAAUGGUGAAAAGUACCCCGGGAGGGGAGUGAAAUAGUUCCUGAAACCAUGUGCUUACAAUCCGUCAGAGCACCGUUUGUGUGUGAUGGCGUGCCUUUUGAAGAAUGAGCCUGCGAGUCAGCGGCAUGUCGCGAGGUUAACCCGUGUGGGGUAGCCGUAGGGAAACCGAAUCCUAAUGGGGUGUCAAGUGGCAUGUCCUGGACCCGAAGCGGGGUGAUCUACCCAUGGCCAGUGUGAAGCAGCAGUAAGAUGCUGUGGAGGCGCGAACCCACGUAGGUUGAAAACUGCGGGGAUGAGCUGUGGGUAGGGGUGAAAGGCCAAUCAAACUCCGUGAUAGCUGGUUCUCCCCGAAAUGCAUUUAGGUGCAGCGUCGCAUUAGCUUGGUGGAGGUAGAGCUACUGGUUGGUUGAGCGGGACUACAAUCUUAGCAAUGUCAGCCAAACUCCGAAUGCCAUUAAUGUGUUGUGCGGCAGUGAGACUGUGGGGGAUAAGCUUCAUAGUCGAGAGGGAAACAGCCCAGAUCGCCGGUUAAGGCCCCUAAGGGUGUGCUAAGUGGAAAAGGAUGUGGGAUCGCGAAGACAGCCAGGAGGUUGGCUUAGAAGCAGCCAUCCUUGAAAGAGUGCGUAAUAGCUCACUGGUCGAGUGGUUCUGCGCCGACAAUGUAGUGGGGCUCAAGCACACCGCCGAAGCCGCGGCAAUAAUUUUUGUUAUUGGGUAGGGGAGCGUCGUGCACGUGUUGAAGCGUUACCGUAAGGAGGCGUGGAGUGUGUGCGAGUGAGAAUGCAGGCAUGAGUAACGAAUUGGAAGGUGAGAAUCCUUCCCGCCGGAUGACUAAGGGUUCCUGGGUCAAGUUCGUCUUCCCAGGGUGAGUCGGGACCUAAGGCGAGGCCGACAGGCGUAGUCGAUGGAUAACCAGUUGAUAUUCUGGUACCCGAGUAUAUGCGCCCCUGAUAAAGCACUGAUACUAACCACCACAAGCACUUUUCGAUGACACUUUGUGUUGUUGGUUGGUGUGCGUCGUGGGGCCUGAUGUGUGGUUCAAGCGAUGGGGUGACACAGUGGGGUAGCCAUGCCACUUAGUGGAUUGUUGGUGUAAGCGUGUAGCUUGGGGUGUAGGUAAAUCCGCAUCCUUUUAUGUGAGACGUGAUGCGUAGCCUUAAUUGGUGAAGUUGGUGAUCCCGU